This 1674-nucleotide ribosomal RNA is filed under the name Triticum aestivum (bread wheat). Its description in RNAcentral is "partial small subunit ribosomal RNA". Lineage: Eukaryota; Viridiplantae; Streptophyta; Magnoliopsida; Poales; Poaceae. The record is from RNAcentral.
AUGGGGGUCAUGUUCUCGUGCCCUGCUGAUGACUAUGACCCCAUGGAGGAAGGCGCCCUCGCGCCGGCGGACGGCGGCGAGCCGACGGUCCUCAGGGCCUUGGGCUCCGGGAAGCUGCUCAUACAGGGCUCGCUCAGCUUCAAGAGGGAGCAGCAGCGGGACGACAGCCCGGGCUCUCUCCAGCUGGAGACCGAGAUCUCCAUCAGGACAGCCGGCGACAUUGCCGGCGCCGAGGCCGAGGCCGAAGCGCCGCCGCCGCUUGUGCCGAGGGAGGUUGCCAGGCUGAGGGCGGGGGCGGAGAGCCCGAGGCACGAUGCUGCGGCGCUGAGGCUGCAGAAGGUGUACAAGAGCUUCCGCACGCGGCGGCAGCUGGCCGACUGCGCCGUGCUGGUGGAGCAGAGCUGGUGGAAGCUGCUGGACUUCGCGCUCCUCAACCGGAGCUCCGUCUCCUUCUUCGACAUCGAGAAGCAGGAGACGGCCGUGUCCAAGUGGUCCAGGGCCAGAUCCCGAGCGGCCAAGGUUGGAAAGGGGCUGUCCAAGGAUGAUAAGGCGCAGAAACUCGCAUUGCAGCAUUGGCUCGAGGCGAUUGACCCUCGCCACCGCUACGGCCACAACCUGCACUACUACUAUGAUUGCUGGCUCCACAGCGAAAGCAAGCAGCCUUUCUUCUACUGGCUUGAUGUUGGAGAAGGCAAAGAGAUCAACCUUGAAGGCAAGUGCUCCCGAUUCAAGCUUCUGAGCCAGUGCAUCAAGUACCUCGGUCCGAAGGAAAGAGAGGACUAUGAGGUCGUGAUUGAGGACAGCAAGUUCUUGUACAAGAAGAAUCGGCAAAUAAUCGACACGUCCUUCGGUCCGAGAGAUGCAAAGUGGAUCUUUGUCCUUAGCACAACUAAGACCUUAAGAAGAAAGGUAAAUUUCAGCAUUCUAGCUUUCUUGCCGGGGGAGCUACUUCUGCUGCUGGGAGGCUGGUUGCUGAAAAUGGAACCCUCAAGGUAUGCAAGCAAUUCUUAUCUGCUUUUACAUCCAGUUUUAUCUUCAGGCAACAUGCUGACGCCAUCUGAACUUCAUUGUUGGCAGGCAAUUUGGCCUCACAGUGGUCACUACCGCCCCACAGAGGAGAACUUCCAGGAGUUCAAAAGCUUCCUCAAUGACAACUUGGUUGAUCUCAGUGAUGUUAAGAUGAGCCCAGCAGAGGAGGAUGAGGAAUUCUGGGGUAGCCUCAAGAGGAUCGCUUCGGAGAACGACAAAUCUGAAGAUGGCCCUGAAGAAACCGGCUCUCUUCAGACAGCUCAAGUCAUUCAAACAACAUCUACGGAGACGGAAGAACGCGAGGAGCCAGUGGUGGCGCGCGAGAAGAUCCUUCAGAGGAUCAACUCCAAGAAGGACAUGAAAUCGUACCAGCUCGGCAAGCAGCUGUCCUUCAAGUGGACGACCGGGGCAGGCCCUCGGAUCGGGUGCGUGCGCGACUACCCUUCGGAGCUCCAAGCGCACGCGCUGGAGCAGAUGAACCUGUCGCCGCGGUGCGACGCCGGGUCCGCGUCCACUCGGUUCGCCUCGCCGCUGAGGCGGAGCUUCAACAGCAUUGUGGCAAGGGGGUGCGAGAACGAGACGUCCACGCCGAGAGGAGCGUUGCGGUCACCUCUGCAGCAUGGACUGGUUGCAGAUGAGAGGUGA